GGAAAGGUGAAAAGCACCCCGAUAAGGGGAGUGAAAUAGAUCCUGAAACCGGAUGCUUACAAGCAGUGGGAGCCUCCUUGUGGGGUGACCGCGUACCUUUUGUAUAAUGGGUCAGCGAGUUAAUUUUGCGAGCGAGCUUAAGCCGUUAGGUGUAGGCGUAGCGAAAGCGAGUCUUAAUAGGGCGCAUGAGUUAGAUGGAUCAGACCCGAAACCGAGUGAUCUAGGCAUGGCCAGGUUGAAGGUUGGGUAACACCAACUGGAGGACCGAACCCAUACACGUUGCAAUGUGUCGGGAUGACUUGUGGCUAGGGGUGAAAGGCCAAUCAAACUUGCUUAUAGCUGGUUCUCCGCGAAAUCUAUUUAGGUAGAGCGUCGAUCGAAUACUCUUGGGGGUAGAGCACUGACUGGGCUAGGGGUCCUCACCGGAUUACCAAACCUUAUCAAACUCCGAAUACCAAGAAGUACUAAUCGGCAGACACACGGCGGGUGCUAACGUCCGUCGUGGAGAGGGAAACAACCCUGACCACCAAUUAAGGUCCCCAAAUAAUGGCUAAGUGUGAAAGGAUGUGGGAUUGCUUUGACAAUGAGGAGGUUGGCUUAGAAGCAGCCAUCCUUUAAAGAAAGCGUAACAGCUCACU
RNAcentral lists this ribosomal RNA (638 nucleotides) under Oxyrrhis marina. RNAcentral's name for it is "partial Bacterial large subunit ribosomal RNA". It matches the Rfam family "Bacterial large subunit ribosomal RNA", at positions 508 to 1146 of the family's 2925-position model. The record is from RNAcentral. Lineage: Eukaryota; Dinophyceae; Oxyrrhinales; Oxyrrhinaceae.